CUAGUGGCAAACGGGUGAGUAAUAUAUAGGAACUUGCCUUAGAGUGGGGGAUAGACUUUGGAAACGAAGAGUAAUACCGCAUACUACCAUUUAUGGGAAAGUCGCAAGACGCUCUAUGAUAGGCCUAUAUCCGAUUAGCUUGUUGGUGAGGUAAUGGCUCACCAAGGCUUUGAUCGGUAGCCGAUCUGAGAGGAUGAUCGGCCACACUGGGACUGAGACACGGCCCAGACUCC
RNAcentral lists this ribosomal RNA (233 nucleotides) under uncultured bacterium. RNAcentral's name for it is "partial 16S ribosomal RNA". It matches the Rfam family "Bacterial small subunit ribosomal RNA", at positions 92 to 339 of the family's 1533-position model. The record is from RNAcentral.